GCUGGUUAGCUCAGUUGGUACAGCGCUCCACUGGAAAUGGAGAGGUCCCUUGUUCGGUACAAGGACCAGGCG
Molecule: non-coding RNA, 72 nt
Organism: Ixodes scapularis (black-legged tick)
Lineage: Eukaryota; Metazoa; Arthropoda; Arachnida; Ixodida; Ixodidae
Source: Rfam